Molecule: ribosomal RNA, 253 nt
Filed under: uncultured bacterium
Lineage: Bacteria
Description: partial 16S ribosomal RNA
Rfam family: Bacterial small subunit ribosomal RNA
Source: RNAcentral
GACGAACCGUGCGAACGUUAUUCGGAAUCACUGGGCUUAAAGGGCGCGUAGGCGGGUCGGUAAGUCAGGGGUGAAAUCCCACGGCCCAACCGUGGAAGUGCCUCUGAUACUGCCGGCCUCGAGGGGGAUAGGGGCGUGCGGAACUCAGGGUGGAGCGGUGAAAUGCGUAGAUAUCCUGAGGAACACCGGUGGCGAAAGCGGCGCGCUGGAUCCCUUCUGACGCUGAGGUGCGAAAGCGUGGGGAGCAAACAGG